AUGGGUGUGCAAAAGAAAAAACUAUAUGCUUGCUUGGAAGCUUAUGUUACAGGUAGACAUCCGACUAAACUGUUAAAUGUUAUUUGUUGUACUCUAUGUUAUACUGGAUCUGCAGAAUUGAUGGUUUGCUUUUCCGAGUAUUGUAAUCAAGAGAGAUUUCUCUACAUCUACACUGUUAUUAUAUCACAAUUCAAAUGUUCAGAAAUCAGACCUCUAAGAUUUUCAUUAUUGAAGGCUUCUACUGAUUGA
Vicia faba (fava bean) is the source of this 249-nucleotide non-coding RNA. The record is from the annotation of a GenBank genome assembly. NCBI's taxonomy places the organism in Eukaryota, Viridiplantae, Streptophyta, Magnoliopsida, Fabales, Fabaceae.